UAUUUCUCUGGAGGAAAAACUUACCAUGAUAUUCCUAUAUUGUGUCUCCGGUGCUUAUUAAUGAGUUUUUUUAAAGCUACCUUGCACUUUCAAGAUAUCACUUCCCUAUAGUGUUUGGUAUUUAAGAGCAUUUUUCUACUAUUAUAUUACUAUUGUUCCCAUAACUAUUAGGAAUGUCUGUGGUGGUGAGCAGAGAGUUUAAAGUCACCUUAUUCUGCAGCGUCGUAUUUUUAUCCCUGUUGAAACAAACUACAGUAUUGUGACGUAGGCUGUUUAUCCCCACCGCAGAUCCAUGUCCAUAUCUUACCGGAGAUUUGAGUCAGCGGCGCGGUGCCUGUGCUGUAGCCCUUCUCCGCGUACACCUGCCGGGUGUCGGCGCAGCUCCUCCCCGCAGCAGCCACUGGGCUCCGGGUCUCCGACAGUGCACAGACCGUGCAGAGCAGCACAAGCAACGGGUACCUGGGGAAAGGUAACCGGGUAUCCAUCCUCACCGCAGGACUCGGAAGAAGACAGCAGGGGAGAGGGCGGGUAGAUCUAAAACCAGACGGGCGCAGCACCUUAUAAAUAAAUGAAUGAAUGGCCGGUUUAGAGGCACGCUAAAGUAAUAAGAGUAACAGUAUCCCAAAUCGUCAAUCGUUUAAAACAGUCAUAGUUUUCCUCGAUAAGUGCAACGACCAGAUGCAUUCGGGCUGGUUUCUACAGACCUAUCGCAUCUAUGUUUCUAUAGACCGUGUCCAGUUAAUUUAUCUUUUCAGGGAAAUCCGCUGUUGUACGUAGAUGUAAAGGGAGUGUGAAUGGGGCACUCCCGUCCCUCAUCCAACAGCCAAACUGCGUCAAGUUCACAGGAGUUGGCAGGAGAAUACCGGAAAAGUGACUGUUUUCAAAAUAAAAUAAAAGGCGAGUUUAUUUAUAGGCUGUAGCAUUUUUUUUUCCUCAAGUACUAGAGUAAAAUAAAAUGACAGAUACAAUUUUGCUGAAAUUGAAUGAAAACUGAUUAGACAAGAGAAUAAAAAAUACAGAUACAAGAUAUGAAUGAGUAGUGCUGGAUAAUUUAGAAAAGGCUGUGUCUCCAUAUUUUUUUUUUUUUUUUUUAUGUACUGUUCAUUUCUGCCUUUUCUAGGAUCAACCAUAAAUGACAACAGCCUCCAACAAAAUAUGUUCUUAUAUCAUGUUGAAAUAGUUUGCAUUUUAGUAGAACAGAAUUUGUGGCUAAAGGGACAGAUGUAGGCUACUAUAACAGCCUGGGUUAUACUCAUAUAAUGAGUUUCAGAUCAAGACUAAGUGCAGUUGUGGCACAGGAAGGUCCAGAAGGGUAUGCUGUGUUCAGAGUGCCUGAACAUGGUCAUGGAGCUAGGUUAGAUGACCUGUGUCAAUAUUUACAUCAAUGACACACGUGGAUUUUUCCUGGAUCACUGCCUUGGUUAAAAGUCUAACAGCACUUAUUUUUAAGUAUGCGAAGACAUUUUAACAAAGUUUCAGAAGAUUUGUCAUUGUUUAAAUGUGCUGCAUUAGACUUUUCAAAGGGACAGAGGUGUAUGUUAAGUAAAAACUGGCAGGCUAAUUGGAGCCAUGAGAAUGUUUUGGCAUUGAAAGGUUUUCUGCUACUGUAAAUUCUUUGGAUAAAAAGCGUCAGCUAAAUGUAUCUAAAUAUAAAUGGUUUGAAACCAAUGCUGCUUGCUGAUGCUCUGAAUAAAUGAAAUGAUUACCUGUGCUUAUUACUCUCCUGCAACAGCCACAUAUACUGGAAUGUAAAUGUUUUUGUGUCUGCAUUUGAUUAAGGGAUGUCAGGAUGUAAAGAGAAUUUCAAAAACAAAUGAUUCUGAAAUAAAUUGCUUUAAGCACCUAUUCCAGCCCAA
Molecule: long non-coding RNA, 1856 nt
Organism: Micropterus dolomieu (smallmouth bass)
Lineage: Eukaryota; Metazoa; Chordata; Actinopteri; Centrarchiformes; Centrarchidae
Exons: 2
Source: RefSeq, a predicted model, not a curated record